CCUACGGGAGGCAGCAGUAGGGAAUAUUGCUCAAUGGGGGAAACCCUGAAGCAGCAACGCCGCGUGGAGGAUGAAGGUUUUAGGAUUGUAAACUCCUUUUGUUAGAGAAGAUUAUGACGGUAUCUAACGAAUAAGCACCGGCCAACUCCGUGCCAGCAGCCGCGGUAAUACGGAGGGGGCAAGCGGUACUCGGAAUCACUGGGCGUAAAGAGUGCGUAGGCGGGGUAAUAAGUCAGAUGUGAAAUCCUUUAGCUUAACUAGAGAACUGCAUUUGAAACUGUUACUCUGGAGUGUAGGAGAGGUAGGUGGAAUUCUUGGUGUAGGGGUAAAAUCCGUAGAGAUCUGGAGGAAUACUCGUUGCGAAGGCGACCCGCUGGAACAUUACUGACGCUGAUGCACGAAAGCGUGGGGAGCAAACAGGAUUAGAUACCCCUGUAGUC
This 440-nucleotide ribosomal RNA is filed under the name uncultured bacterium. RNAcentral's name for it is "partial 16S ribosomal RNA". It matches the Rfam family "Bacterial small subunit ribosomal RNA", at positions 338 to 795 of the family's 1533-position model. The record is from RNAcentral.